RNAcentral lists this ribosomal RNA (430 nucleotides) under uncultured prokaryote. Its description in RNAcentral is "bacterial SSU rRNA". It matches the Rfam family "Bacterial small subunit ribosomal RNA", at positions 355 to 776 of the family's 1533-position model. The record is from RNAcentral. RNAcentral also lists the same sequence under 1 other name.
UAGGGAAUCUUCCGCAAUGGACGAAAGUCUGACGGAGCAACGCCGCGUGAGUGAAGAAGGCCUUCGGGUCGUAAAACUCUGUUGCCGGGGAAGAACAAGUGCCGUUCGAAUAGGGCGGCGCCUUGACGGUACCCGGCCAGAAAGCCACGGCUAACUACGUGCCAGCAGCCGCGGUAAUACGUAGGUGGCAAGCGUUGUCCGGAAUUAUUGGGCGUAAAGCGCGCGCAGGCGGCUUCUUAAGUCUGAUGUGAAAUCUUGCGGCUCAACCGCAAGCGGUCAUUGGAAACUGGGAGGCUUGAGUGCAGAAGAGGAGAGUGGAAUUCCACGUGUAGCGGUGAAAUGCGUAGAGAUGUGGAGGAACACCAGUGGCGAAGGCGGCUCUCUGGUCUGUAACUGACGCUGAGGCGCGAAAGCGUGGGGAGCAAACAGG